RNAcentral lists this unclassified non-coding RNA (456 nucleotides) under Hevea brasiliensis (rubber tree). Lineage: Eukaryota; Viridiplantae; Streptophyta; Magnoliopsida; Malpighiales; Euphorbiaceae. The record is from RNAcentral.
AAAGGAAAAAAAAAAAGAAAGGAAAUGAAGAAGAUAUUAGAGUUGAAUUGGCAACGAUUAAAGCGAUAUUCAUUGGCUGUUUCUCAUGUAAGAUUUAUUUUAUAAUUGAUGGGUUUUGAUGCCCUUAUAAUUAAAUUGAUAAUUCAGAGAUAUGUUGAAACUCGUAACUCAUUAAUGGUUAGCAUUAAGUAUUAACUAAAAUGCAUGAUGGGUUGUACUAGAUUGUUAUAUUGAAAUGCAACAACUUAUUUGUAGGAUUACAAAAUUACCAUUUAUCAACCAGGCUUUCUUUUGUUGAAAUGUAUAAUUGUGAACUCUAAAUAAAACGUCUAGAGGAAUGUGGCAUAAUUGGCUAGAUGGCUAAUAAGAUGGUUGGUUACAAUGAGGCAUUAGUACCAGAUGAUGUUUAGAAACGUUUCAGGGUUGGUUGGUGUAAGAAGCUAACCUAUAAGGGAA